This is a ribosomal RNA of 1028 nucleotides. It matches the Rfam family "Bacterial large subunit ribosomal RNA", at positions 1 to 981 of the family's 2925-position model.
UACAAGCUACUAAGGGCACAUGGUGGAUGCCUUGGCAUCGAGAGCCGAUGAAGGACGUAGGAGUCUGCGAUAAGCCCUGGGGAGCUGACAACCGAGCUGUGAUCCGGGGGUGUCCGAAUGGGGAAACCCGGCCAGAGUCAUGUCUGGUCACCGGCGCCUGAACACAUAGGGCGUUCGGAGGGAACGUGGGGAAGUGAAACAUCUCAGUACCCACAGGAAGAGAAAACAACAGUGAUUCCGUGAGUAGUGGCGAGCGAAAGCGGAUGAGGCUAAACCGUGCGGAUGUGAUAGACGGCAGUUGUUGUCCGUGCGGGGUCGUGGGAGCGCAUUGCUGGUUCUGCCGAGCUGGCGAGAAGUGAUAAAACUCAGGUGAAGUCGAAGGGCCUGGAAUGGUCCGGCGUAGAGGGUGAGACCCCUGUAGGCGUAAGUCUGAGUCUUCUUUUGUGUUAUCCCGAGUAACGCGUGACUCCUGGAAUUGCGCGUGAAUUUGGCGGGACCACCCGUUAAGCCUAAAUACUCCUCGAUGACCGAUAGCGGACAAGUACCGUGAGGGAAAGGUGAAAAGUACCCCGGGAGGGGAGUGAAAUAGUACCUGAAACCAUGUGCCUACAAUCCGUCGGAGCGAUCCCUUGUGGGUUGUGACGGCGUGCCUUUUGAAGAAUGAGCCUGCGAGUUAGUGGUACGUGGCGAGGUUAACCCGUUGGGGGGUAGCCGUAGCGAAAGCGAGUCCGAAUAGGGCGUUGAGUCGCGUGCUCUAGACCCGAAGCGGAGUGAUCUAUCCAUGGGCAGGUUGAAGCGCGGGUAAGACCGCGUGGAGGACCGAACCCACUUAGGUUAAAAACUGAGGGGAUGACCUGUGGAUAGGGGUGAAAGGCCAAUCAAACUCCGUGAUAGCUGGUUCUCCCCGAAAUGCAUUUAGGUGCAGCGUCGUUUGUUUCUUGCCGGAGGUAGAGCACUGGAUGGUCUAGGGGGCCUACAAGCUUACCGAAAUCAGCCAAACUCCGAAUGCCGGCAAGUGAGAGAGCGGC